AACAAACGCUGGCGGCGUGCCUAAUACAUGCAAGUCGAACGGGGAAAGCUUUCGGGUGAGUACUAGUGGCGCACGGGUGAGGAACGCGUGGAUAAUCUGCCUUAGAGUGGGGGAUAACUAGUCGAAAGAUUAGCUAAUACCGCAUAAGACCACGAGAGCUGCGGCUUUUGAGGUCAAAGGGUUUUCGCUCUAAGAUGAGUCCGCGUAAGAUUAGCUAGUUGGUGAGGUAACGGCUCACCAAGGCGACGAUCUUUAACUGGUCUGAGAGGAUGAUCAGUCACACUGGAACUGAGACACGGUCCAGACUCCUACGGGAGGCAGCAGUAGGGAAUAUUGCACAAGGGAGGAAACUCUGAUGCAGCGACGCCGCGUGAGUGAUGAAGGCCUUCGGGUCGUAAAGCUCUGUCGCAGGGGAAUAACACAAUGAAGGUACCCUGUAAGAAAGGAUCGGCUAACUUCGUG
This 462-nucleotide ribosomal RNA is filed under the name uncultured bacterium. RNAcentral's name for it is "partial 16S ribosomal RNA". It matches the Rfam family "Bacterial small subunit ribosomal RNA", at positions 29 to 507 of the family's 1533-position model. The record is from RNAcentral.